UUCUGGUUGAUCCUGCCGGAGGCCACUGCUAUCGGAGUUCGAUUAAGCCAUGCGAGUCGAGAGGUGAAAGACCUCGGCAUACUGCUCAGUAACACGUGGAUAACCUACCCUAAGGUGGGAGAUAACCCCGGGAAACUGGGGAUAAUACCCCAUAGUCUAUAGGCGCUGGAAUGCUCUGUAGUCGAAAGAUUUAUCGCCUUAGGAUGGGUCUGCGGCCGAUUAGGUAGUUGUUGGGGUAACGGCCCAACAAGCCUUUGAUCGGUACGGGUUGUGGGAGCAAGAGCCCGGAGAUGGAUUCUGAGACACGAAUUCAGGCCCUACGGGGCGCAGCAGGCGCGAAAACUUUACAAUGCGGGAAACCGUGAUAAGGGAACUCCGAGUGCCCGUAAACGCGGGCUGUCCAUCUGCUUAAAAAACAGGUGAAGAAAGGGCCGGGCAAGACCGGUGCCAGCCGCCGCGGUAAUACCGGCGGCUCGAGUGGUGGCCACUAUUACUGGGCUUAAAGCGUCCGUAGCUUGGUUGUUAAGUCUCUUGGGAAAUCUGCCGGCUUAACCGACAGGCGUUUAAGGGAUACUGGCAAUCUAGGGACCGGGAGAGGUGAGAGGUACUCCAGGGGUAGGAGUGAAAUCCUGUAAUCCUUGGGGGACCACCUGUGGCGUAGGCGUCUCACCAGAACGGCUCCGACAGUGAGGGACGAAAGCUGGGGGAGCAAACCGGAUUAGAUACCCGGGUAGUCCCAGCCGUAAACGAUGCGCGUUAGGUGUAUCGGUGACCACGAGUCACCGAGGUGCCGAAGGGAAACCGUGAAACGUGCCGCCUGGGAAGUACGGUCGCAAGGCUGAAAC
RNAcentral lists this ribosomal RNA (845 nucleotides) under uncultured Methanosphaerula sp. RNAcentral describes it as "bacterial SSU rRNA". It matches the Rfam family "Archaeal small subunit ribosomal RNA", at positions 1 to 855 of the family's 1478-position model. Lineage: Archaea; Methanobacteriati; Methanobacteriota; Methanomicrobia; Methanomicrobiales; Methanoregulaceae. The record is from RNAcentral.